This 87-nucleotide transfer RNA is filed under the name Planctomycetes bacterium DG_23. RNAcentral describes it as "tRNA-Leu". It matches the Rfam family "tRNA". Rfam says of the family: Transfer RNA (tRNA) molecules are approximately 80 nucleotides in length. Their secondary structure includes four short double-helical elements and three loops (D, anti-codon, and T loops). Further hydrogen bonds mediate the characteristic L-shaped molecular structure. tRNAs have two regions of fundamental functional importance: the anti-codon, which is responsible for specific mRNA codon recognition, and the 3' end, to which the tRNAs corresponding amino acid is attached (by aminoacyl-tRNA synthetases). tRNAs cope with the degeneracy of the genetic code in two manners: having more than one tRNA (with a specific anti-codon) for a particular amino acid; and 'wobble' base-pairing, i.e. permitting non-standard base-pairing at the 3rd anti-codon position. RNAcentral also lists the same sequence under 1 other name. Lineage: Bacteria; Pseudomonadati; Planctomycetota. The record is from RNAcentral.
GCCGAAGUGGCGGAAUUGGUAGACGCGUCGGACUCAAAAUCCGGUGGGGCUUCAAACCCCGUGGGGGUUCGACUCCCCCCUUCGGCA